RNAcentral lists this small RNA (26 nucleotides) under Bombyx mori (domestic silkworm). RNAcentral describes it as "ovarian small RNA-9826". The record is from RNAcentral. Lineage: Eukaryota; Metazoa; Arthropoda; Insecta; Lepidoptera; Bombycidae.
AAAAAAUGGUAAACCUGACCCCGAUG